This is a long non-coding RNA of Mytilus californianus (California mussel), 944 nucleotides long. RefSeq lists it as uncharacterized. The transcript is spliced from 2 exons. The record is from RefSeq and is a predicted model, not a curated record. Lineage: Eukaryota; Metazoa; Mollusca; Bivalvia; Mytilida; Mytilidae.
GAGAUUGCAGAAAAAAUAGAUCCAUCAACAGCUGACAAAUUUGGUGACUCUACAAAGAUAAAAUCACAUGGUGAAUGCUCGUAUUCCAGUGAUAACAAUACCCCACAAGAUUUAAAUGAAUACAGAAUGGUAGUUUUUGGUUUACCAUCCUCUGGCGUGAGCUCAACUGCCAACACUAUAGUAGGAGAAAAAUUGUUUCAGGAAGGCGUUACGUUCGAUGGCACUACAAAGGAAUGUCAGAUGGAAAGUCGUACACGAUUUAAUUAUGUAUUAAAGGUAGUGGAUACACAGGGAUUUGUAUUCGACAAAAAAAUGAGGACUGCAGAAGAACUAUUCCCAGGGCUUAAAAAAAGUAUUAUGCUUUUUCCUCCAGGACCACAUAUUGUCCUGGUUGUACUCCCGUUGGAUAGAACUAACGAAGAUUUACAUGAUAUGAUUCAUUGUCUUAAGUGCUUUGAGAAUUUGUCUAGGCAUGUCGUUGUCAUAUUAACAAAAAUUGAUAAGAUUGAAAAAGAUAGGGCGGGAUGGAAACAAGAAAUCUUUGAAAGUGAAAAUUUGAGUGAACUGUUGGAAUUUUGUGGUAAACGUGUUGUAUUUUUUGAUAAUACAAGCAAUAGCGAACAACAAGUCAAAGAACUGUUAGAUGUAGUGAUUAAAGUUGUUGAAAGAAAUAUGUCAGAAUGCUUUAACACUGAUUAUUUUUCGAAAAAAACUAACAAAAAACUUGAUCUAGUUCUUCAAGACCAAGAGAAAAAUAGAAAAUCAGUUUAUGAACGCAUACAGAAUUUUGCGAACUGGAAAUAAAACUUUGAACUGCUUCAAAUUAGAUUAGUUCCCUCUCUGCUAGUAUUAUAUCAUUAGAAACUAUCAAUUGAAAUUAAUACAAUAUUUUGAUAUUUAGUCAGUAUAUGUCAUUAUUAAAUACAUAACUUUAUGCGUUCUAA